This 907-nucleotide long non-coding RNA is filed under the name Phascolarctos cinereus (koala). RNAcentral's name for it is "lncRNA (ENSPCIG00000028093.2)". The record is from RNAcentral. Lineage: Eukaryota; Metazoa; Chordata; Mammalia; Diprotodontia; Phascolarctidae.
GCAAAGCAGUCAGAGAAGAAUCUAGCUCUUUCUCCACCCCUAUUUCUCAGUGGAGUAACUGGCAUCUAGAAGUGGAACCACUCACCGAGGAGGAUAUACAUCAUUCAGUGGCUAGAGGCUCUGAGGAAGCAACUAUUGCAGACUUACUCAGAGACAGUCACUUAAGGUAGCUUCAAGGAGUUGGACUUCUGGCAGCAAAGAGAACCAGCUAUGUACUCAAGAUAAACCACCCUUGGCAACAGAGCUGUGCUGCAGAGAGGGCUCCAAGAAGAAAGGACUUUGGGACCCUACAUUACUAAAGGAAUGAGCAGCAUGGUCACGUGUAAUUUCUAUGUGUGAUGUACAAUCAUUGUAGCAGGAGAAGGAAGCCUAGUUUAUGGGGAGAAUGUUUUGUAGUUCUGCUCUUCCUAUGCUGUGUUGUUGGCUUGAACUACCUAGGAAGAAAUCAAGGAGACUGUAACCUGAGCCAGUGAGGACAAAAAAGUCAAUUACCAGAAAGGAUGGAAGUACAACUAUAUGAUGGAAAGGAACCACAUGGUCUGGGUUCUAUCCCUGACUCUGAUGCUCAUCAGGGAGAUGAUCAGAAGACACCAGGAUUGGUUGGGGCUAGAAGAAGGAGAGGGAAAAACACCUUUCUGGUUCCUGACAUUCUCAAGGCCUAACUGUCCUUUGACUCCAGGCUGUGGAUAAGAACCAUUUUUUAAAAAGUAUGUCAUCAUGCAACUGGGAAAUAAGAAAUACAGGAAAUGGGGUACAGAAAUCUAUCCUGAACUACAGGAAAAUAGAAGGGGAGAUGAGAUAGAAGGGAGGGCAGAUUAGAGAAAGGGGUAUACAGAAUGCAUGCCAUCUUGGGGUAGAGGGAGGGAUGAUAUGGGGAGAAAAUUUGGAACUCAAAAUCUUGUGGAAG